Homalodisca vitripennis (glassy-winged sharpshooter) is the source of this 1518-nucleotide RNA transcript. It is a transcript of the gene named RNA exonuclease 4-like, with no coding region annotated. The transcript is spliced from 3 exons. NCBI's taxonomy places the organism in Eukaryota, Metazoa, Arthropoda, Insecta, Hemiptera, Cicadellidae. The record is from RefSeq and is a predicted model, not a curated record.
CUGUCAGCUGGUUGCUGGUUCGUAUCGUUGCCGUUAUGACUAUUUAGUAGUAGGCUUAGGCUAUGUUUUUUGAAUUAGUAUUUAUACUCGUUUCUGUAAUUUACCUGAGUUUCAAAGCCAUAAAUUUCACCAUGAUUAAUAAGAAACACGCUGAUUCAGCCACCUCUUUUCGUAAAAACGUAAGGACAAGGAAUAGUGACAAAUCAGUGCAACAGGUUAUUACAUUAUUAGAUGAAAGUGAGGUUAUAGAGAAUAAAACGGACAGUAAGACAAACAAAAUCUCUUUAGCUAACAUUAGUCAUAAACAAGCAUGUGGAGCAAAUAACUGGUUCAAUUUCAUUAGAACUCAAUCCUCCCAGAAAAGUCUACCAGCGAACAAAAAUACUACUCAUAUGAGACAACAUGCUAGGCCUAGGCCUAGUUCUAAAAUCUCCCCAGAGUCAAAGAAAUACAAUAUUAUAGAUGAUGUACACCCAGUACCUUCAUUUGAAAGUGCAAACAAAGAAGCAACACGAAUUAGAAGUAUGACAAAUUACAAGCAAACUGAAGCAUGGAAUUCAAGAAAUACUGAAAAGAAAGAUGAUAGUAAAUUUGGAAAAUGCACAGAAACAAAACUAAUUGCCAUGGAUUGUGAAAUGGUUGGUGUGGAUGUCGGUGUAAAUAAUAAUAUGUUAGCUAGAGUUUCACUAGUAAAUGCUCGGGAAGAAUGCAUAUAUGAUAAGUACGUAAAACCAACUGAACCUAUUAUUGAUUAUAGAACUCAUGUGAGUGGUAUUAGGCCUAAAGACUUGAUAAAUGCACACGAUUUUAAAGUAGUACAAAAAGAGGUAGCAGAUAUCCUAAAAGGAAAAAUCUUGGUGGGACACGCACUGAAAAAUGAUCUGAACGUGUUAUAUCUGACUCAUCCUAAGAGAAUGAUGAGAGACACAUCAAGAUUCUAUAAAUUUCGUGAAGGAAGAACUCCAGCUUUAAAAAAAUUGGUAAAAAAAUAUCUGGAUGUUACCAUUCAAGAGGGUGAACACAAUUCAGUACAAGAUGCUCUUGCUACAAUGCAGCUUUAUAGAAUGUUCCGCAAAGAAUGGGAGGCAAGUUUAAGGGGUACCAAAAAAAAUAAUAAAAAACCUCCAAAUACAGUUACAAGAACUAAUAUGAUGGUUGAUGUUUAGGAAUGUGGAGAGAUAUAAGUUAAGCCUAUUGCAUGAAAACUAAAAGAAAAUAAUAAAUGCUAUUAUUGCUGCUAUAAUUCUUUUAUUCACAAAAAAAUUAACUUUGAAAAAGCCUGAAAAGUAUGCCAGUUCCAAUUCAGGCAGACUACUCUUGGAUGGAUACAAAUUUUCUUCAAAAUGUGCAAAGCAAAACAUGGAUGUUUUAUAGAUAACUAAUAAAAAUAAAUUAUAAUAGAAGUUUCACAAAAAGACAAAGUUCUGUAAAAGGGCUAAUGACGGAAAACCCAGAUUUUAUUAUUUUUUUGUUGUAAUGACUUGUUUGCUAUGAAGAUUAUAUUAUUUUCUUACAGAA